RNAcentral lists this ribosomal RNA (493 nucleotides) under uncultured bacterium. RNAcentral's name for it is "partial 16S ribosomal RNA". It matches the Rfam family "Bacterial small subunit ribosomal RNA", at positions 29 to 523 of the family's 1533-position model. The record is from RNAcentral.
AUUGAACGCUGGCGGCAUGCUUUACACAUGCAAGUCGAACGAUAACAGGUUAAGCUGACGAGUGGCGAACGGGUGAGUAAUGCAUCGGAACGUGCCCGAUCGUGGGGGAUAACGCAGCGAAAGCUGCGCUAAUACCGCAUACGAUCUGAGGAUGAAAGCGGGGGACCGUAAGGCCUCGCGCGAUCGGAGCGGCCGAUGUCAGAUUAGGUAGUUGGUGGGGCAAAGGCCCACCAAGCCGACGAUCUGUAGCUGGUCUGAGAGGACGACCAGCCACACUGGGACUGAGACACGGCCCAGACUCCUACGGGAGGCAGCAGUGGGGAAUUUUGGACAAUGGGCGAAAGCCUGAUCCAGCAAUGCCGCGUGCAGGAAGAAGGCCUUCGGGUUGUAAACUGCUUUUGUACGGAGCGAAAAGGCCCUUUCUAACACAAGGGGCUCAUGACGGUACCGUAAGAAUAAGCACCGGCUAACUACGUGCCAGCCGCCGCCGUAA